Molecule: unclassified non-coding RNA, 334 nt
Filed under: soil metagenome
Description: partial contains 5.8S ribosomal RNA, internal transcribed spacer 2, and large subunit ribosomal RNA
Rfam family: 5.8S ribosomal RNA (bases 1-120)
Source: RNAcentral
GAUGAAGAACGCAGCAAAAUGCGAUACGUAAUGUGAAUUGCAGAAUUCAGUGAAUCAUCGAAUCUUUGAACGCACAUUGCGCCCGCCAGCACUCUGGCGGGCAUGCCUGUUCGAGCGUCAUUUCAACCAUCAAGCCCCAGGCUUGCGUUGGAGCCCUGCGGCUGCCGCAGCCUCCUAAAAGCAGUGGCGGGCUCGCUAUCACACCGAGUGCAGUAGAUUACUCUUCGCUCAGGGCGUGCAGCGGGUUCCGGCCGUGAAACCCCCUACUUUUAAAGGUUGACCUCGGAUCAGGUAGGAAUACCCGCUGAACUUAAGCAUAUCAAUAAGCGGAGGA